UCUCGGGCUGGUGAGUGCUGCUCAGCACCGAGCCUCUGUGCGGGAAUCUCUCCGCUUUGCCCUCCGCACCCCUGUGGCUGCGCUCUCCUCCGUGACUGUGAAGCUUCCCCCGCCAUCCACCCUCCGGUCCCUGCCAGUGAAGGGGCUUCUAGUGUGUGGAAACGUUUCCUCCUUCACAGCUCCCUCCCGGAGGUGCAGGCAACAUGACAGAAUGAAAGUAUCAACUUUGGAGUUGAACAAAUGGAAUUUCAUGUUUUAGUUUUCAACUGCUUACAAGCUUCAGUUUCCUGUUCCUGAGUUCCCUCCACAGGAAGAAAAACUUUGGAAGCUUUUACAGAAUGUAAUCAAGAUUUAUGAUGAAUUUUUCUGGUGAAGAUAUUUUAGUGAAAUUUUUUCAAGUGCAAAGGCAUUUGAAAGCUGCUACAAUCAAUCCUGAUGAAAUAAGGCCUUCAAUAAUAUUGCAAAUUCUGAAAUUCAGUGUAAAAUGAGGUUUUCAUUAACUUCUACCCAACUUAUUUUUAAACACCUUUCUAACCUAUUUGCAUAUUUGGUGCUUCAUAAAUUAAUUAAAUAAACAUUAAUAAAAAAGUUUUUUCAAUCAGCUAUGAGUGAAGAUAGAUUGACAAAAAUCUGGCUAUAUUGCCUUUUGAACAUGAAUAUGUAAACAAAAUCCAUAUUCAUGAAGUCAUUGAUAAUCACAAUAUUGUUAUUAUUUAUUACUGUGACAGCUCAGUAUGUAGGUAUAAGAUUUUUUUCCUACUUUGUCAAAAAUACAUUAAUCUAAUUAAAAAGUAUUCAUCUAAUCCUUUUUUACUAUAAUAUUUGGUUUUACUUA
Long non-coding RNA from Balaenoptera musculus (blue whale), 835 nucleotides. RefSeq lists it as uncharacterized. The transcript is spliced from 3 exons. The record is from RefSeq and is a predicted model, not a curated record. NCBI's taxonomy places the organism in Eukaryota, Metazoa, Chordata, Mammalia, Artiodactyla, Balaenopteridae.